CGCCUGUUUAUCAAAAACAUCUUUUCUUGUUAGUUUUUGAAGUAUGGCCUGCCCGCUGNCUUUGGUGUUNAAGGGCCGCGGUAUUUUGACACGUGCAAAGGUAGCAUAGUCAUUAGUUCUUUAAUUGUGAUCUGGUAUGAAUGGCUUGACGAGGCAUGGGCUGUCUUAAUUUUGAAUUGUUUAUUGAAUUUGGUCUUUGAGUUAAAAUUCUUAGAUGUUUUUAUGGGACGAGAAGACCCUAUAGAGUUUAACAUUUAUUAUGGUCCUUUUUCUGUUUGUGAGGGUUCACUAGGCCGUCUAAUAUGUUUUGUUGGGGUGAUGGGAGGGAUUAAUUUAACCCCUCCUUUUUAUUAUUAUAUUUAUUUAUAUUUGCUUGAUCCAUUUAUUUUGAUUGUAAGAUUAAAUUACCUUAGGGAUAACAGCGUAA
RNAcentral lists this ribosomal RNA (427 nucleotides) under Reticulitermes lucifugus. RNAcentral describes it as "partial 16S ribosomal RNA". The record is from RNAcentral. Lineage: Eukaryota; Metazoa; Arthropoda; Insecta; Blattodea; Rhinotermitidae.